RNAcentral lists this ribosomal RNA (275 nucleotides) under uncultured bacterium. RNAcentral's name for it is "partial 16S ribosomal RNA". It matches the Rfam family "Bacterial small subunit ribosomal RNA", at positions 28 to 306 of the family's 1533-position model. The record is from RNAcentral.
GAUGAACGCUAGCGGCAGGCUUAAUACAUGCAAGUCGAGGGGUAGCAGGUAGCAAUACGCUGACGACCGGCAAACGGGUGCGGAACACGUACACAACCUUCCUUUAGUGGGGAAUAGCCCAGAGAAAUUUGGAUUAAUACCCCGUAACAUAUUGAAGUGGCAUCACUUUAAUAUUAUAGGUUACCGCUAAGAGAUGGGUGUGCGGCUGAUUAGGUAGUUGGCGGAGUAACAGCCCACCAAGCCAACGAUCAGUAACUGAUGUGAGAGCAUGAUCA